RNAcentral lists this long non-coding RNA (9344 nucleotides) under Citrus maxima (pomelo). RNAcentral describes it as "long non-coding RNA (CMAX_LNC000257)". Lineage: Eukaryota; Viridiplantae; Streptophyta; Magnoliopsida; Sapindales; Rutaceae. The record is from RNAcentral.
AAAAAGAAAAAAAAGGUUGAGUCGUCAUCUUCUCAAUGGCGACGGCUGAGACACAAACGAUGGUGGUAGGGAUCGACGAUAGCGAGCACAGCACGUACGCGCUUCAAUGGACGCUCGAUCAUUUCUUUGCAAAUUCGACUGUAAAUCCUCCUUUCAAACUCGUCAUCGUUCACGCCAGACCUUCCCCUUCUGCUGUUAUUGGCCUCGCUGGACCUGGUAAAGUAAUUAUAAAUCUAACUAAUUAAUCCUUUGGUAUUUGUCCUUGCUUUGCAAGUUUUAAAAAUUAAGUAAUGGAUUUUGUUGUCCUUUGUUCGAUUUUAGUUUUCGAUUUUUGUUUGUUUGUUUUUUCUUUCUUUCUUGAUGACCAAGUAACUGGUUUUUAAUUUUAAUUUAUCGCAGGAGCUGUCGAGGUUUUGCCUCAUGUGGACUCAGAUUUGAAGAAGAUUGCUGCUAGGCUUGUGGAGGAGGCUAAAGAAUCUGUAGCAGUAAAUCGGUAAUGAUUAGUUUUUUAUUUCUUUUUAAUGAUAUUACUAUCUAUCUAUAUAUCUAUAUAUAUAUAUAAAGUUGGGACUAUAAGAGGUGAUGUGGCAUCACCAUUUCUCAUCAUUUCAUAUUUUCUAUUAUCUAAUAAAUUGGUUGAAAUUAAAAAAUAAUUACAUUAUAAAAUAUUAAAAUAGAAAAUAAUUAUUAGAUUAUAAAUGAUUACAUGUCUUUUUCUCUUUCUAUUUAAAUUCAACAAUAUGUAACCAUUAAUAAUAAUUAAUUAUAAGUCUUGAAACAUUCAUUUAUUUUAUUAUGCCAACAAUUAAAUUUUAGUGGCUUAAAAUACAUCAAUUAAUUAAUAUAGGAAGGAAGGUUCCUUCAUCUUCUCUCAACAAUACCAUUAGAGCCUAAUUUUAAUGUCAUAAUCUCAUAUUUAAUUAUUCAAUCUUUUGUUUAGUGGCUUUUGGCUUCUUCAAACUCCAUAAACAUUAAAUAUUUAAGAUUUGUGUCAUCAUUAUUUCUCAUCAUUUUUUAUUCUCUAUUAUCUAAUAUAUUGGUUGAGAUUAAAAAAUAAUUACAUUACAAAAUAUUAAAAAUAUAUAUCUAUCUAUCUAUAUCUAUAUAUAUAUAUAAAGUUGGGACUAGAGAAGGUGAUGUGGCAUCACUAUUUCUCAUCUUCUUGUAUUCUCUAUUAUCUAAUAAUUAAAUUAGUUGAUAUUAAAAAAAUAAUUACAUUACAAAAUAUUAAAAAUAAAAAAUUAUUAUUAGAUUACAAAAAAUUACAUGUCUCUUCCUCUUUCUAUUUAAAUUCAACAAUAUGUAACCAUUAAUAAUAAAUUAAUUAUAAGUUUUGAAACAUUCAUUUAUUUUAUUAAGCCAACAACUAAACUUUAGUGGUUUAAAAUACAUCAACUAAUUAAUAUAGGAAGGAAGGUUCAUUCAUCUUUCCUCACCAAUGCCACUAGGACCUAAUUUUAAUGUCAUAAUCUCAUAUUUAAUUAUGCAACCUUUUAUUUGGUGUCUUUUGGCUUCUUUAAACUCUAUAAAUAUUAAGCAUUUAAGAUUUGUUAUGUUUGAGUUUUUUUUAUUAUUUAACUAACAUCCUCCUUAGAAAUGUUUUUGUGUUUUUUAUUUUUUGACUUAUUUAAAUUUUUAGUAUUGUGUGCUUCAUGGAGUAUUCUUUUCUUCAUGAGUUAAACAGUGAUAAAGAUAGUUGGAUGAUAAGGGUUAGACUUUGUAAGAUGUGGGAGUCUGUUAAUACCAAGAAAAAUAGAGAGUUUUUAUUGAUGAAAAGGUUGUGUACACUUAACUAUACACAUUAAUAUAUAUUUUUAAUGUUAACAAAAAAAUAAUUAACUUUCAUAAAUAACAUUAGUUUUAUAAGGCUACGUCAUCUUUAAAAAAAAUCAUAUUUUUUAUCAGUUUCAUCAAGUGCAAAGUAAUAAAAAAGAUAAUACUAUUUUUUUUUUAAAGCCGCAUGAAGUGCGGUUCCAUUUCCUAGUCUAUAAAUAAAAUACAAUCUUGGGAUCGUCUAGGAUUCUAUAUACACAUACGCUUUUGUAGUACAGUUUAAAAAUCUUUAGAUUGCCCCACUCGUAAAAUGAUAAUUUUCAAAAUAUUCUUCUAAACAUCAACUUUCCCUCAUUUAUGUUAAGAAGACGAAAAAUUUUUCAUCAAUGCACCCCCAAUUUUUAUUUAUAUUUUGAACCCAAACAGAGGUAAGUUAAGGUUUAAAAUAGUUUAGAGGUACUUCGAGAACUGUCAUUUUGUGAUCGGUAAUCCAAAAUUAACCUUUCUAAAUUGGUGGAUCUAGGUUAUAAGAGCAUCUCCAAAAUGCUCUUUAGAUUUUACUCUUCAAAUUUCAAUUUGCUUACUGAUAUGGCAAAUAAGUGUAUAGAAAAAUACAAUCCCCUCCAAAAGACUCAUCAAAUAAGAAUAAGUUAAUAUUAUUUUAAUUAAAUCUUUCCCACUAUCAAAUUAAAUUGUUGUUAUGUUUUUGAAAGGAAACAUAAAUAAUAAUUAUUGCAGUCUUAUCUUUUCAAUAAAUAAUAAUAAAAUAUUAAUAGAAGAGGGAGAAACUCACUCGCCAAUAUUGAAGAGUGAGAAACAAAUCUUAUUUGAAGAAUCUAAAUUAACUUGUCUUUUGGAGUGUUUAAUAUUGAUAUGGCUCUUCUAGGGAUGGCAAUGGAUUGGAUCUGAUCCAAGAUCCACGUGAUCCAAAUCCAAUCGGAUCGAAUUUGGAUCGGUUUAAAAUGGAUUUGGAUCGGAUUUGGAUAUCGAUGUGCGGAUCUAAGAUGGAUCUGGAGCAGAUCUGGAUCUAUCUUAAUAUCUAAAUCCAUAUCCAUAUCCACUCAUCUUUUAAUUUUAUUUUAUUUUAAAAGUUUCUUAACAAUUGUGAAAUUAUAAUGAUAAUAAAUUUUAUUCAUAACAUAUUAGUAGUAUUUACCAUGCAUUUAAACUCUUAAAACUUAAAGGUUAGUUUUGUAAAUUUAAAGGUCAGCCAACCCCAAAGCAUGUACAUGCAAUAUUCAAAUUGCAAGCCAAAUAAUAUAACCUGGCAAUUUAUUUUAUUAUAUUGGCCAAAUAAUUUUUAAAGAAUAUAGUUAUUCAUAUAUUUAGUCAAAUAUGGUCAUAAUAAAAAUAAUAAAGGACUGAAUAUAAAUCAUAUUUAAUUUAUAUGUCAUUAUCUAAUGUUGUAGGAAUGAGGGUAGGUGUAUCGUAGAUAUUAGAAUGAUGAAGGAGACAAUAGAAUAUUAGAUUGAUCUUACUCCUGCAAUUACUUCGGAAUGAUAUUUUAUUAUCUUUCUUAUUUGUUGUUUUGGUGUAAAAGUAUAAGCUAUAAUAUUUAUUAUAAUUUUGAGAAAAAUUAUAUAAUUUAUUUGUUAUCAAUACAUUUUAGCCUUCAAUUUUCAAUCUAAAAAAUUAUUACUUUUUUAUUACUGAAUUUUAGAAUUCAUGACGGAUCUAGAGCAUAUUUGGAUUUUAAUUUUUUUUUUCGGAUUUGGAGCAGAUAUAGAUAUUUAUUUCUUUUUUGGAUCUGGAUAUGUAGCGAAAAAUAUGGAUUCAUGACGGAUCUGGAGCAGAUACAGAUCUUGAUUUUUAUUAUGGAUUUGGAUCUGGAGCAGAAUAGAUCCAACCCAUAUCUGCCCCAUUGCCAUCCCUAGGCUCUUCAAAUAAGAAGUAGAAUUUUAUUUGAAAAGUUUUUUUGGAGAUGCUUUAAGUAUUCACGCUUAUCCUUUUAUCUUUCCCCAGUUUGAAUAUACCAGAUUAUAAUAGGUAUACUUAACAAUUGUUUUCCUUCUGCUAUCAUUUCUGUAAAUUAGUAGUUCUGUUUUGUUUAGGUGCAUGAUGCUGUUGUUGAAGUGGUGGAAGGAGAUGCUCGAAAUAUCCUCUGUGAUGCUGUAGAGAAGCAUCAUGCCUCCAUAUUGGUUGUUGGUAGUCAUGGCUAUGGAGCGAUCAAAAGGUAUAAAUCCACUAUAAGUUGUUUCAUUUGGUAUCUCAUAUUUUCUCGAGUGGAACUUGGUAUGGUGAACUGUUUUGGUUAUUAUUCAUAUUUUUCAAUCAUAACGAGGACUCAAAUCUGUAUGUGUAAAUACACUAUAAAUAGAUUAAGUACUAUUGUAAAAGCUUAUAUGAAUCAAUUUUUUAUUCUUUAUUACGGAGUAGCUAUAACCAGUUGAAAAUUAAGUGGAAAAAAUGUCGUUGAGAUGUAGUAAAACGCUUUUCUCUGACUGGCCACCCAAAUGCAAAUUGAUGCUAAAAAUUUAAUUUGGGAUUUGCCUUCUCCUCUACCUUUGAAAAAAAAAAAAAAUUGAUCGGUUUCUAUUUCAGUAUUCUUUCGCUGGGAAUGUCAUACGUACUAUGGAUUUACAAAUUUUGUUGAAUAAGAGGGUUAGUAGGUUUCAUUUGUUUCCUGUUGGGGAUUCUGAUGACUUGUAACCGAGAUCGAUUCUUUUGCAGGGCGGUUUUGGGCAGUGUAAGUGAUUAUUGUGCUCAUCAUGCUCACUGCACGGUGAUGAUAGUGAAGAGGCCUAAAACCAAGCACUAAGCUGCAGUUCCUCUGCUUCAUGAUUAGUAAACACAUAAUAAGAUGGUAUGAAUCAGUUGGAUACUGUAUGAUAUCUAUUGUAUCUUGCAUUUUACAAUUGCGGUUGAAAAUGGGCUGUAAUCAAAUAUCAUAAUUUAACUUAUAUUUAUGUAAACAUCUAAACGUUUCAUCAAAGUUCAUAUGCUUCAAAUGUUUCAUAGUAAUGUUUUAUGUUCAUUAAUGUUCUCCUUGUUUCUUCGCUUGCUUGUUUCUUUACCCUCCCCUUUGUAGAAUUUCCUUGUUAAUCACAGUAUGAAUCAUAGCAUGAAAAUUAAAAGUUGAUUAGGACAAUAUUUUGAUUUUAAAUAUUUAAGGAUCCUUCUAAAUUACAUGUAAUGUAACUUACAACCACACACAUAAAUAAUAUGUGGUGUGGAGUUCACGCACUGGUUUAUAUGUGUGGUUGUAAGUUACAUUAUAUGAAACUUAGGGUUUGCCAAUAUUUGAAGUAACUUUUAAUUAAUCGAGACAGGUUCUGUAGGAAAGAUGUUAGCUUCAACCUUUUAUUCUUUAUCAUUUUUCAUGAUACUUUUAAAAUUUGAUAGACACAUAAAAUUCUGGUGUAAGAGGUGCUUAACACCCACUCUAUUAGGACAAUACAACUCAUUAAUUACUAUUUUCAGUUCACUGAAAAAAAAAAAAGAACUAUUAUGAACGCGAUCAUAUUUUUUAAAAUAAGAAACAUAUUCAUGAAUUAAUAAUUUAUUAAUUUAAUGAUAAAUAAUAAUUGUUAAAUUAAUAAACCUUUUAGGAUCCUUGCUAUUAAUUUAUCUGGUUGUAUUCUAAAUAGCUGCAUCACAAGUACGCAGAUCCACAAUUUCAACGCGUCUAGAAAUUUCAGAACAAUACAGCCAUCUUGUUUUAUUUAAUGUGUCUCGGGUAUUUUGACUACAUAGAAUCCAAGCCCUUAAAUCUAAUUAAACCUACUUACAAAAUACAUACAAGGAUUUAACCCCGAGCACAGCAUAGGAGCAAAUUAAUGUCAAAUAUGAGAUAACACAUAUAGAAUAAGAAACAAAUUAAUGUCUUUUAUUAUAUAAACUUUUUUUCUUGAUUUUGAUAAGAUAUUAUUUUUCUUUCAUUUUUUUAUUUUUUUAUCUUUUUUUCCCUUUCGAUUAAUAUUAUCUUUUCAAAAAAAUUUAGUUAGUAUAUUAUCCUAUUUCAAUUUUUAAAAUUUAAAUAAUUAGUUAAAUAUAGUAAUCAGUUAAAGAAAUUAGUUGUUCUAGGUCUUUGACUGUCAUUUGGCAUCCAAAGAAUGUUGGGCUCUCUCUCUCAGAACUCAGCAUCAUGUCUGGAGAUUGCCUCUUGGCUUUGUAGCCACACCCGAAAUGGAGCCUAAUUAAAUGAAGACACAUGUACUUAUAAAAGAAGUAAAUAUAUAAAAUACGAAAACAAAGUCGUUUUUAUUUCAAUUAUUUUGACACCUAAUUGGUGGCAGUAGAGGUGUUCAGAAUAUAAUUCGAUCCGCUUAAUCCAUCUAAUUCGUAAAAAUCCAAUUUGUGGAUUGGCGGAUUGGAUUGGAUUGAAAAUUUUGAAAAUCUACAGUCGGUUGAUUGAAUAUAGAUUUACUUUUAUAAAUCCGUAAAAAUCCGUGAUUCUGCAAAAAUAAAAAAUAUUUUACUUAAUUAAAAAAUAAAACUUGCAAAUGUAGCAUUGGUACUUACGAAUAAAUGAUAAGUUAAAAUAUAAUUAAAUUAACACCAUGUUAUAUAUAAAUUAAAAAAUAAUUAAAUAUUUGAAUAAUUAAAUAAGCAAAUAUAACUUCCUAAACAUUAAAAAUUCUUAACCAGAACAAAAAAAACCCUAAGCCAAACAAAACAUGUAAUUAGCACAUAAUACCAAACCUCUACCUCGUUGCACGCACAAGCCAUCGUUGUUUCACUUCAGCACUUGAGGUACUUAUAAUUUCUUACUUUCUUUUCAAGCUCUUCAAAUUUCUUAAUUUUUUUCUUGUUACAUCUAAGGUCUCAAGUUUCAACUUUUGUAUAUAUUUAAAUUCAUAAUUUUAGUUAAAUUUCACGUAUUGAUAUAAACAAAUGAGAUUUUAGCAUGUUAUUCUUUUCGACAUGUUAUUGAAACAUUGAAUGUAUUAUUCUAUCUUUAUUUAAACAAUUAAUUUCUUUAAAUUUUAUUCAAUUUUGAAUUUAAUUAGUAGUAAAUUUUUUUAUAUUAGAUUUUUUUAAUUUAAUUACUUCAUAGAUUGGACAAAAUUAAAAAUUAAAAAUUCAUAAAUCAAUUUGUAAAAUGAUGGUUUGGAUGUGAAUUAGGUUAAAUCCAUAUUCGAUCCGCAAAUAUAUGGAUUGAGUUUCACCAAUCCGUGGAUUUAAUUGGAUUGAAAAUUUAUAAUCUAUAAAAUUAUGGAUCGGAUAUGGAUUGAUAUAUAAUCCGUAAAAUUCGAUCCACGAACACCCCUAUUUGGCAAAUUAACACUCGGGAAAGCUGAUCCUUGUAAAAAAAAUAAAAUAAAAAAGAAAGAAAACUCAAAAAUGCAAUGCUGACCAACAGCUGGGAACAAUUUUUUUUUUUUUUUUACCCUAAUCAACGUGGUAAUAAAUAUUAUUGGCUGUAGGUUACUAGGUUCGAUAUCUCGAACUCGGCCUGGCCCAUGUUGGUAUGGGCUGGAUUGUAAAAUUACAAUAAAAUGUUGCCUAGUUGAUAGCAAAAUCACGUAAACAUCCAAUGAACGUUUGAAUUUUAGGACUACUUGGUAAUAAUAAGCUUUUAAAUGAUUACUAUAAUCUAGAAAUAAUCAAUUACGAAAAGAAUUAAUUAAUUAUUUAGUAAAUUCUAUUUUUUAAAAUGUUAUGAGUUUUAAAAUAGUAUUAUGUAUUUGGUAAAUUUUACUUAUUAAACUAUUGUAAGCAUACAAAUAAUUGAAUUCAAUAUAAUGUUAAGUAAAAUUUAUUCACACAUUUAUGAACAUAUUUAUAAAAUAUUUUUUAUGUGUAUAGAAAAUAAUUGAUAAUUAAAAAAAUUUUAUUUUUUUAUUUUUUUAUUUUGUUAUCACAAUAUAAAUAGCAAUAAUAAUAAUAUCUUUAAAUUUAAUGAUUUUAUUUUUUAAUUAAUAAGAUUAAUUUUAAAUGUUUUUAAUAAAUGGAACUAUUAGAUAUAAAAUUAAUUCUCAAAAUUAGAUUUUAAAAAAUUACUCAUUUCAUACUUCUCAAAAUCUACUAUAAUAUAAACUAAUUUUUCUAAAAAUAAUCUUAUUAAUUAAAUAAUUGAUAGUAUGUUUAAUAAAUAUUAUGUUACAAAAAAAAUUAACUACAUAGAAUAUGAAAUUAAAUUUAUUUUUGUAUUUUGUACAUUUCAUCUACUUGAGAUAAUAAAAUCUCUUGUGUUGAAAAAGAAAAUUAUGGGUUUUGAAUCUUGUUCACAUAGGUGAGAGGAAAUUGGUUACCAUUAUGUUAAAUUAAAAAAAAAAUCAUAUUAUACUUAUCAUUAAUUAUGGUUAGUAAAUAAUAUACAUAGUUUAACUAUAUAAUAAAGUAGUUAAUUUAUUAAUUAAUAAAUUUAUUAAUUUAAAUAGAUAUUAAUAAAUGUAAGAAUAAGUCAUUUAAUUGGAAACCUAGUUCAAUAGAAUUAAAAAAAAAAUAUUAUGGACUUAUAUGUCAAAAUUUCAAAACUUUUGAUUGUAUUUUUAAAUAAUAAUAAUAUCUUUAAAUUUAAUGAUUUUAUUUUUUAAUUAAUAAGAUUAAUUUUAAUUUUUUUUAAUAUAUGGAACUAUUAGAUAUAAAAUUAAUUCUCAAAAUUGGAUUUUAAAAAAUUACUCAUUUCAUACUUCUGAAAAUCUACUAUAGAGCAUCUCCAAAAGACUUUUUAGAUUUUACUCUUCAAAUAUCAAUUUGCUUACUGAUGUGGGAAAUAAGUGGAUGGAAAAAUACAAUCUCCUCCAAAAGACUCAUCAAAUAAUAAUAAGUUAACAUUAUUUUAAUCAAAUAUUUCCACUAUUAAAUUGAAUUGUUGUUAUGUUUUUUAAAGGAAACAUAACUAAUAAUUAUUGUAAUCUUAUCUUUUCAAUAAUUAAUAAUAAAAUAUUAAUAGAAGAGGGAGAAAUUCACUCGGUAAUAUUGAAGAGUGGGAAACAAAUCUUAUUUGAAGAAUCUAAAUUAACAUAUCUUUUGGAGUGUUUAAUAUUGAUAUGACUCAUCAAAUAAGAAGUAUAAUUUUAUUUGAAGAAUCUUUUGGAGAUGCUCUAAAAUAAACUGAUUUUUCUAAAAAUAAUUUUUAAAGUAAUUUACAGGAUAUUAAAAAUAAUUUUUAAUAUUUUAAAAUUAAUUUAUAACCCUAAAAAAUAAAUACUGAAAUUAAUUUUUUUUAACUUUUCAAAAUUAAACUCCAGACUCCUUAAAGCACUUUCCGCCAAUCGCCCGCAACUUCCUUCUCAUCUUAUCUAGAUAAAAAGUAUGAUCAUUUCGCUGUCUCUUAGAUUUAUUCGCUUAUAUAGAUUCGAAAUCGAACAAACUCUGCAGCUUUCUAAAUAACACACAGCAAAAAGGGAAAAAAAUUAAAAAAAAAAAAAGGCUGAGUCGUCAUCGUCUCAAUGGCGACGGCUGAGACACAAACGAUGGUGGUAGGGAUCGACGAUAGCGAGCACGGCACCUACGCGCUUCAAUGGACGCUCGAUCAUUUCUUUGCAAAUUGGACCGUAAAUCCUCCUUUCAAACUCGUCAUCGUUCACGCCAAACCUUCCCCUUCUUCUGUUGUUGGCCUUAUACUAUUACUUUUCUAUACUUAUGCUAUUACCUAUAAUUUUCUGUUCUUUAAGAAAAACCCA